UAUUACUCCACAUCUCCUGCCUUUGCCCACCUGCAUUGUCUCUGUGCCUGAGCCCCGGCUGGUGGCCUGCAAGGAUCCCCUAUCUCCUCUGCCCCUGCACGGCUGGGUCCCAGGCAAUCUGUCCACCCACCACACCUCUCUCCCCUUGCCCACCACACUCCAGCCCCACAGUCCUCUUUCUGCUUCUUUCCCAGCCUCUGGGCUUUUACACACGCUGUUCUCUCUGCAUGAACACCCUCCAAUGGGCUGAGAACAACUCUCUGAGACCUCUCUCAGCUGUUGCUUCCUUUGGAACAGCCGCUGCUGCUGUCCCUCUCCCAGCUCCAAGACCUGCUGAGCCUCCUGUCUUUUUCAGUUCCCAUGCCCCCAGCACUUCUCCUUGGCCUCCUUUGGCCCAAUUGACAAUGUCCAUUCUCAAUGCCUUCUCACCCAGCGCUGAGCCCCACUGGGUGAAGGCAAUGCCUGUCAUGUUCACCACAAUAUCCCCUCCCCCAUCACCAUGACUGGUCCACAGUGAUGCUCAAAAAAGAUCUGUUGUUAGGCAAUGGGAAGGUGCAUUCAUGUCAUCCUGCAGGAGGAAUUCUCCACGAGUUUUGAGCAGCCUCGGUUUUCCCACCACCUCCAAAUCAUGCAAGACACAGGGUAAGAGCAAAGACAAGGUGGCUGUGGCCGAUGUCCACCCUCGCGGGGCGUCCCUUCUCUUCUCUCCUCCUUGGGCAGGGAGACCAUCGGGGUGCAACCUGGCUGGGGAGGGGAGGAGAUGCAGGGCCUGGCCAGCGCUGGCCUGGCCACGGGCAAGGGACAGCGACCUCCUGGGCCAAGACAGGUGAGCGCAGCGCAGGCCCGGGCCCAGCGUGUCCGCCGUGCGCAGGAGUGGCCAGCAGAGGGCACCAGAGAGCCAGGAGCCGCCCGCGGAGGAGCCGGCGCCGGCCCCAAUGCCCAGCUCCGCGCCGCGCGGACCCACCGAGCCCGCGCUCAGACGCCCCAACUCCGCCGAGAGGCCGCUCGCGCCGGGUCCUUCCUCUUCCCCAAGUGCAGGCAGAGCCACCGGAGCCAUGGCCAGCCCUUCUGGCAGCUCCGAAGCCACUGGCAAGCCCCGAGGCAGGGAUCACCGGCCCAGGAGGGAGGAGGACGACAUCCCUCCCGAAGAGAAGAGGCUGCGGCUGUUGCUGGAGGGGAGAAGCGCACAGCCCGAGGACUGCGAGGACGGGGAGGACGCGCCGCGGCCGGGCAGGGAGGAGACCGGCACCCAGACAGGUGGCGACGGCAGAGGAGUGGACUCUGCCAAAGACCAGGAUACCAGAAUGCAGUGGAGUGACCAAGUGUAGUGGGACCUUGGGAACGUGAUUCUGGAGCCAGGCGGCUGGGGUUCGCAUCCUGGUUCUGCCCCUCCUUAGCUGGCUGACAUGGCACAAGCCACUUACCCUCUCUGAGCCUUACUGUCUUCAGUGGCAAAUGGAUCUGUCAACAGGCCCCAUUGCCUGGGGUUGUUACUGCUGACAUUAAGGGAAGCUCGUCCAUAGAAGCACUUAGCCUUGUGCCUGGCACAUAGUGUAUGGUGGAUAAAUGGGACUUAGGACUAACACUCAUGUCUUGGUGUGUUUUUGCAGUGAUGUUUUGUUCUGGGGUGCAUCACAAGAGACAAGGUUCUUGACUGGGCAUGGUGGCUCAAGCCAAUAGUCCCAGCAGUUUGAGAGGCCGAAGGGGGAAGAUCUCUUGAGCCCAGGAGUUUAAGACCAACCUGGGAAACAAGGUGAAGCCUCAUAUCUAACCAAAAAAAAAAAAAAAAAAAAAAAAGACCAAGUAUGCUGAUGUGUGCCUCUAGUCCCAAGUACUUGGGAGGCUGAGGUGGGAGGAUUGCUAGAGCCUGGAAGGUCGGGCUGCAGUGAGCUGUGAUCAUGCCACUGCACUCCAGCCUGGGUGACAAGGUGAGACAGUUUCAAGGAAAAGAGAGAGAGAGAGACAGACAGACCCACAAGAGUCUUAAGCCAGAAUCUCCAUGUUAAAAUGCUUUCUGGAGGCUAAAAGGAUCAUAUGUUGAUAAUUAAAUGUUUAAAAGGCAGAAACCCCACUGAAUUAUUUGGUCCACAGAGGGAAAUGGGAAUCGCAUGAACUGAAGGAUGAUGGAGGAACUAAACAGAAACCAUCCUUGUUUCCUGAAUCUGAACAUGGCACCCUCUUUUCACGGUCUCUGUAUCUGCUCAGUCUGGCGGCCCCUCGAAAAGAGGGAAUCUUGAUUUUCAAACUUAAAAUUUGGCCCAAAGCCCACUGCUGCCUACAAUGCCCACCAGACCCAUUCCUAUUCCCUUUUAGUUUCUAUGGGAAUACUCUCUUUGAAGAACCCAUGAAGCAGUGUCAGGCUGGUGUGAGGAUCAGCAGUGAUUUCUUUGAGGAGGAGAGCCCGUUUCUUCACUCACAGGCCAUGUCUGAGUGGAUCAAGAAGAACAGAGCGCCCUUUUAUGAGAUUUUGUCUGCGUAGACCAUUAGCUUGGUAAAAAUGUCAAAACCAUCCUCUUUCUUUAAUAGCAGAUUAUUUUGGACUUUUCUCUGCAAGAAGCAGCAUGGGCAUUCAGAUGCUUUUAAGGAUAAAAUGUUCUUUCUCAUCACCAGGCCUGGUGCUCUGGAUGGCUGAGGUUUUAAUGUGAUUGGAUGUCCCUUGGAGUGGCUCCCAGGCUGUGAUCUCGUGGUUGGGUGGCAAGUGGUUGCUUUAUUCGGUGGUGGCUAGAGGAUGUUUUAGCAGAUAAAUCAGGAUCCCAGGAGCCCCUGAGUGUCAAGUCCUGCUGCAGGGCAUGUGUUUAUGGUGGCGAUGUGGGUGGGUGGAGGGUGGGGAGCAUUGAUUUCCUGCCAAUAUCAGAAGUUUCACAGGCUUCUUGUGUAUCCACAAACACCCAACCCAUUGAGAAGGCCUAGAAAACCUGCCCCUCCCCAAGCCUUUAUUGACAGCUUGUGAAUAAUCCCAGGGUGUGUCUGACCCACAGCUCUUCCUGGAGGGAGAGAAAAGUCUCUCCUAGGUAUUUGAUUGUCAACCUCAACCACUUGCUGAGCCUUCCCCAAGACCAGGCACCUUGGCAGAGAUAUCUGGAUUGUCAGGCAGAACCGAGCAUUCAAGGGUAAUAACUCACUGGAGUCCCUGAAAUCCCUGAUGGGCGCACCAGAUAAAAGCAUCCAGGGUUGAAACCAGAUCAGGAAGGUUAUUGUCAGCCUGGGGCUCCUGUAGAGGUGCAUCCACGUUGCAGGGAUUUUCCUUCUUGCUGAGGAGAAACCUGGGUUUCUCAGCUUUGGCACAGUCACAACAUUUGGGGUCAGACCAUUCGUGGUGGUGGUGCGGGGGCUGUCCUGUGUAUUGUAGGAUGGUUAGCAGCAUCUGUGGUCUCCAUCCUCUAGGUACCAUUCUAUCCUCCCAGCUAUGGCUACCACAGAUGUCUCCAGAUGGUUUCAAGUGCUGUGGGGCAAGGGAGUGGUAUGUGAACAAAACCACCCCAGUUGAGAGCCAUUGGUCUACACUUGUGGAAAUGUUUGAGGGUGACAGUGUCGAGCUUGGGUCCCUGCUGUACCCUUUAUGAGCAAUGCGGUCUUGGAAAAUUAAUACUACCCCAGGGGCCUCAGUUUUCUCUUCUAUAAAAUGGAAAUAAAUGAGAUACACUUUCAUAAGAAGGUUAUAUGGGAUUUUCUGAGAUAAUAAGACAGUACAUGGAAAAUACUGGGCAUAGCAUUUAUUUAUUUUAAUUUCUUUUUAAGACAGAGUCUUACUCUGUUGCCCAGGCAGGAGUGCAGCGGCAUGAUCUCCGCUCACUGCAACCUCCACCUCCUGGGCUCAAGUGAUUCUCCUGCCUCAGGCUCCCGAGUAACUGGGACUACAGGCGUGCGCCAUCAUGCCCAGCUAAUUUUUGAAUUUUUAGGAGAGACGGGGCUUCACCAUGUUGGGCAGGAUAGUGCCAUCUCUUAACCUCGUUAUCUGCCCUCCUCGGCCUUCCCAUGUUCUGUGAUUACAGGCGUGAGCCACCGUGCCUGGCCAAACAUAAACUUACUUUCUUACCUCUUCUGCUGAACUCUAUUUGCUUCUUAUCCCAAAUGUCUUUAUCCAGAAGAGCUUUUAGCAACAAAGUUACCCAAUGCCCUUCCGUAGUCUCUCCAUGCAACUGGCUCUCAGCAGGCGGGGGAGGAAAUCCUUGACAGAACCAAUUUACAUGACUGUUUGGAGGACUCUGGCUAGCCCCAGGAGGUGUUUACAUUUUUAAAUUGGUUACUAGUGUCAGAAUGUUUCAUGAGUAAGAGCCCAGCCUCUAUGUUGGAUGCCCUGAAUUUGAAUCUCAGCAUUGCCGCUUUGUAUAUAACCAGAGGAUGGAUUUGGGGACCCAAUGGAUCUACCAUGACAUGAACUUGCACCAACAUUCACCUGAUCUCCAAAAUGCCUAUUCUGACUGGUAGACCCUAGUCUCAGCCAAGUGCCAGUUCAGAGCCUGUCUCCAGUGAUCCUGAAGAGGUCUCAUUAGUUCCUUUUCUCCUGUUCAGUCAUCCUGGUAAUAGGCUGUGUAUUCCCUUGGGGGCAGGCUGGGAGAAAGAUUGACAGUAUAAAUUUUUGGCAGUGGAGCAGAGUCCUUUCUGGAGGGGACCUGGCUUCCCAUUCAGACAAGGGACUCCGGGUCUGUGAACUGGCUUAUGUCUGGAAAUUGAUGGGGGACUGUGACUGUUUUUAUGAUUCAGAUUAGACUUCUGCUCACCUCACCUAGAACUCUUCUGCAAACACAGAUCCAGUAAAAAUGUGGCAGGCUUCUUAUCUAUUUCACCUCUAGGAAUGCCACGAUCAGCUGGCACCAUAGGUCUCUGUGAGUUAGGCUAUUCUGGUUGCAGCUUUGACUCUGCUGUCUUUUAUGGUAACUGCAUCCACCUUGCCUUUGGGGAUUGAGUGCUCUGAUCACUUGGCCCCAGCCACUGUAGUGUGCCUAUGUCACUUACCCUCUUUAUAACUCAGUCUCUUCCUCUGUAAAAUGGGCAUCCUCAUUGCACCAACCCCCAGGGCUGCUGUGAGCUAUAGAUGGAUUAGCAUAUGGCAAGUAAUAGAAGAGGGUCUCAAAGUCCAUGUGUCUUUAUCAGAAUUAUUUCAUGAUGGGGAGAGCUGGAGGAGAGAAGAAGGUGCUAAGCAGACCCAUGUGCUCUCCCACCAGUGUUUCCUGAGCACCUACUAUGUGCUGCCCACUGUGAGAGCUGUUAGGGUUGAAAUAGGGAGCACAGCAGGGUAGGGGCUGCCAUCAGGAGCUUAGUGGGGAGACCAUUGUGCAACAUGGUUCCAGCACUUGGGGUGGGGAAGCUCAGGGAGUACAGGGGCCUAGGAUCCUGGGCAGAAUCAUGGAAAGGACACAGCCUCCCCAGCCUCUCCUGCCUCCACUGCCUCCCUGGCCUCCUCUGCUUCUGUGGCCUCUCCUGCCUUCCUGGCUUCCCCUCCCACCCCAGCCUCCUUAGUCUCCCCUGUCUCUCCUUCUUUUCAGGUGGGCCAGGAGCUGUUGGUGCUCACUUAGCCUGUCCUGGACUCUGG
Pan paniscus (pygmy chimpanzee) is the source of this 5533-nucleotide long non-coding RNA. NCBI's taxonomy places the organism in Eukaryota, Metazoa, Chordata, Mammalia, Primates, Hominidae. The record is from Ensembl.